Molecule: ribosomal RNA, 427 nt
Filed under: uncultured bacterium
Lineage: Bacteria
Description: partial 16S ribosomal RNA
Rfam family: Bacterial small subunit ribosomal RNA
Source: RNAcentral
UGGGGAAUAUUGGACAAUGGGCGAAAGCCUGAUCCAGCCAUGCCGCGUGUGUGAAGAAGGUCUUCGGAUUGUAAAGCACUUUAAGUUGGGAGGAAGGGCAUUAACCUAAUACGUUAGUGUUUUGACGUUACCGACAGAAUAAGCACCGGCUAACUCUGUGCCAGCAGCCGCGGUAAUACAGAGGGUGCAAGCGUUAAUCGGACUUACUGGGCGUAAAGCGCGCGUAGGUGGUUUGUUAAGUUGGAUGUGAAAUCCCCGGGCUCAACCUGGGAACUGCAUUCAAAACUGACUGACUAGAGUAUGGUAGAGGGUGGUGAAAUUUCCUGUGUAGCGGUGAAAUGCGUAGAUAUAGGAAGGAACACCAGUGGCGAAGGCGACCACCUGGACUAAUACUGACACUGAGGUGCGAAAGCGUGGGGAGCAAACA